GUGCAGCCCAUGAGAAUCUGUUCCAGUGAAAUGCUACAUUCAAAGAAGUGCUGUCCACCCCAGAAGAUCCCAGAGGACGCAAUUCUGGCUGUGCUGGGAAGUGCUAAAGUUCCCUUCAUAUGUCACUCUGGAGAAGGAGCGGCAAAGCAGCCAUGUUGAGUUCCUCUCAACAUUUGGCAUCAUGGACGAUGGUAGCUAAAAGAAAAAAAAAAAAAGACAAGUUACCACAUGAUAGAUGGAGUCUUUUAUGUUGCUCAGGCUGGUCUCAAACUCCUGUGCUCAAGCAAUCUUCCCACCUCUGCCACUCAACGUAUCGGGAUUACAGGCAUGAACCACUGCACUCAGCCUUAUUUGGUGUCUUUUAAAAUAAAUAUUCUAAGAAUCAUGUAAAGAUACUUCACUGAUUCCAUUUGUGGCUAGCUGAUUCUUUGGAUAUGGGUGGGUCCUUAAUCACAACAGUAACUCCAAAUCAAAAAAAUACUUGGUUGGAUUUCUUGGCUUGUUUCAUGAGGACAGCUCAUUAAAAUGUUGUUUAUACACUAA
Sapajus apella (tufted capuchin) is the source of this 543-nucleotide long non-coding RNA. RefSeq lists it as uncharacterized. The transcript has 2 exons. The record is from RefSeq and is a predicted model, not a curated record. NCBI's taxonomy places the organism in Eukaryota, Metazoa, Chordata, Mammalia, Primates, Cebidae.